Long non-coding RNA from Lutra lutra (Eurasian river otter), 2128 nucleotides. RefSeq lists it as uncharacterized. The transcript has 3 exons. The record is from RefSeq and is a predicted model, not a curated record. Lineage: Eukaryota; Metazoa; Chordata; Mammalia; Carnivora; Mustelidae.
CCACCCUAGUGCUUCCAGUCCCAACCACUAGAGACCAAGUCGGGUGAAGCAGGGAAAGGGAAGCAAGCACCCAACGAGGGACCCAGAAGGGCCUCAUAGCCCUAAGAAGUACUCACCCGUCCUCCCCUACAAAGGCUUCUCCUGUCCUGGACCUGGUUUCAGGACUGUCCAGGUGAUAGAAGGAAGAGAGGAGCUGGAAGCUGAACUUGCCUGGACAGAACCAAAAAGUUGCAAACUGACGGCACCUACUGGCAAUCAUCAAGACUGCAGAAGGUCUGGAGAGCUCUGGCAGGGGACAAGAUUGUACAAUCCUCUCCCUGCCAUCUCACAGACAUAUUGGGGUCUCUUCUGUAUUGGAGCACAGCAAAGAGAGCCAGCAUCCUCAUGUCCCUGGGAGAAGCCCAGCCUGUCCCUGAUUCAGAAAACUUCCCCCAGCCCUAUCGCCCUCAAUCAUCUUGAACCCAGUUCUGCCACCAACUUAUUGUAUGAAGUUGGACACCACUCCUUGGAGUUUGAAUGUCCCUAACUAUAAAAUAGAAGUAGGUCAUCUCCACCUAUUCUGCCUCUUAAAGCUCUUAUGAGAGUAAAAUGGGAUCAGAAAGGACAGUUCUGAUACCAAUGCCAGACUUGCCUCAUAGACAGCAAACUUGGGAGAGCUAAAGACACUGGGACGUGGAGGAAGGCGUGCAGGAGAGGCUGGACUUAGAGCAAAAAAGUACCUGAAGUGAAGCAUGAGUGCAGAUGUGAGAAAUCCAGAAAGGUUUCCAGGUGAGACAGGUGCCCAGACCUCUACCCCAGCAUCCCCCAUCCAUCUGCUGGUGCCCACCCACCACCCAACAGCACCGUCUGGAUUAAUUUCAAGGAAGCAGAAAAAUAGACAUAAGUAGGCCAUCCAAGCACCUCCCCAUCAUUCGUGCAACACAUAUUUACUGGACAGUGAUUUGCGCAGGCUUUGUGCUACAUACUGAGGACACAGAGAUGACCAAGAUCACUCUCUGCCUUCAAGGAGCUCACUGCCUAGUGAGGGAGGACAGGCAUAUAAAUAAAAUGAACCUAAGAAGUGUGCAGGUGCCCUGGGAGACAUUCAUGUGGGGCACCGUGGGGACCCAGACGCAUAAGUGGUCAGUUCUACGACCAAGGCAUGGAAAAGCUUCACAGAGAAGGUGACUCAUGAGCCAACCAUCUGCCACGCUAGAGUAAAAAGCACCAGUAUUAGCAUUAGGCUGACCUGGAUUCUAAUCCCAGCUUUGCCACUGGACUCACUGGGGAAUCUGAAACAAGUUUCUCUGAGCUCACUGUUCUUACCUGGAAAAUGGGGCUUUGUGAUAAGAAAGAUAAAAGCGUAAGGAGGGGAGAGAGAGAAAGACUGGAUUGUGCAAAUUGUCCAGCCUACAGGGGGCACUGAGCGUUUGCUCUUUCCUAUCAGCCACCCUGCUGGAAACUAAGGACCUUGGUCGUCCGGCACCACCCCCGCCCCCCAGCCCCGGCAGACUGGAGGCUCUCAGAGGACUAGGUUUAGUGUCCUCCUUGGGCUUGCUGGUGUCUGGGGAUGGGCUACAUAAAGGGCACAGAAUUUGGAGUAAGAAGACCUGGGUUCAAGUUGUAGCACAGCCGCUUAAGAGCUGUGUGACCUUGGAUACACACUUAAUGUCUGGAAGGGUCAUUUCAUCCUCUAUUUUAAAAAGAGGAAAAAUAAAAUUCUGAAUUCAGUUCUUCUGUGUUUUUUACAUGCUCCUGAAACAAAGAUAUAACUUAGAAAAUUAACCUUAAAAACAUAUAAUAAAAAUAAGAAAAGAAAGAGCAAGAGAGAGGUAAUUGGGCUUACCCCACAGGAUGAUUGCAAGAGAAAAUGAGAUAAUGGAUAAGAAAGGGUUCUGGAACCCAAGAAAUGGGGUACAGAGGCUGCUCAUUGAUUUUCUCCAACUGAUUGCUGCUUCCUUGAGGACCGAGAGCACCUCCAGGAGCCCCCGGAGACAGAAACAUCGCCUUCCUUCCCUGUCAUCUUUUCCAGCCCAGGGCUCUAUCAGAAAAGGAACCUGUUUGGGGCACCAGGGUGGCUCAGUUGGAAGAUCAUGCAAUUCUUGAUUUCGGGAUUGUGAGUUCCAGCCUCACAUUGGAUUACUGAAAA